This 189-nucleotide ribosomal RNA is filed under the name Staphylococcus aureus. RNAcentral's name for it is "partial 16S ribosomal RNA". It matches the Rfam family "Bacterial small subunit ribosomal RNA", at positions 1 to 184 of the family's 1533-position model. The record is from RNAcentral. Lineage: Bacteria; Bacillati; Bacillota; Bacilli; Caryophanales; Staphylococcaceae.
UUUAUGGAGAGUUUGAUCCUGGCUCAGGAUGAACGCUGGCGGCGUGCCUAAUACAUGCAAGUCGAGCGAACGGAUGAGAAACUUGCUUCUCUGAUGUUAGCGGCGGACGGGUGAGUAACACGUGGAUAACCUACCUAUAAGACUGGGAUAACUUCGGGAAACCGGAGCUAAUACCGGAUAAUAUUUUGA